CCGUUGCCUAGCGACAGGCGAACCGGCGAAUGACGAGCCAGGUGUUUGCGUCAUUCGUCAGACACACCGCCGAAGCGAAAGAGACCGGCCGCGCAUCUGAGCGUUGGACUGUUCGGGAACCCGUCUGCCUGUUUUUCUAUUUUGGGAUUUAGCCUGGUUUGGUGGCCUCCCGGCGAAUUAUUGCGUUGAUUCGGAACUUCGACAUGGCAGCACUGCACUAUUGGACUACGGCAAGCUCACGUCGUCUGGUGGAGCUUCCUGCGGAAACUACUGCUGCUUACCUUGUGCCACAAUGCUGGAUGAAUGCACAAAAAGCCCGCGACGAGCAUUUACAAAGAACAAAAUAAACGUUAAUUUUUCCACAUUUCACAA
RNAcentral lists this long non-coding RNA (372 nucleotides) under Dermacentor andersoni. RNAcentral's name for it is "uncharacterized LOC126539780". Lineage: Eukaryota; Metazoa; Arthropoda; Arachnida; Ixodida; Ixodidae. The record is from RNAcentral.